This 497-nucleotide ribosomal RNA is filed under the name uncultured bacterium. RNAcentral describes it as "partial 16S ribosomal RNA". It matches the Rfam family "Bacterial small subunit ribosomal RNA", at positions 28 to 507 of the family's 1533-position model. The record is from RNAcentral.
GAUGAACGCUGGCGGCGUGCCUAAUACAUGCAAGUCGAGCGAACAGACGAGGAGCUUGCUCCUCUGACGUUAGCGGCGGACGGGUGAGUAACACGUGGAUAACCUACCUAUAAGACUGGGAUAACUUCGGGAAACCGGAGCUAAUACCGGAUAAUAUAUUGAACCGCAUGGUUCAAUAGUGAAAGACGGUUUUGCUGUCACUUAUAGAUGGAUCCGCGCCGCAUUAGCUAGUUGGUAAGGUAACGGCUUAUCAAGGCAACGAUGCGUAGCCGACCUGAGAGAGUGAUCGGCCACACUGGAACGUAGACACGGUCCAUACUCCUACGGGAGGCAGCAGUAGGGAAUCUUCCGCAAUGGUCGAAAGCCUGACGGAGCAACGCCGCGUGAGUUAUGAAGGUCUUCGGAUCGUAAAACUCUGUUAUUAGGGAAGAACAAAUGUGUAAGUAACUAUGCACGUCUUGACGGUACCUAAUCAGAAAGCCACGGCUAACUACGUG